This 406-nucleotide ribosomal RNA is filed under the name uncultured bacterium. Its description in RNAcentral is "partial 16S ribosomal RNA". It matches the Rfam family "Bacterial small subunit ribosomal RNA", at positions 30 to 526 of the family's 1533-position model. The record is from RNAcentral.
AUUGAACGCUGGCGGCAGGCCUAACACAUGCAAGUCGAACGAGUGGCGGACGGGUGAGUAAUGUCUGGGAAACUGCCUGAUGGAGGGGGAUAACUACUGGAAACGGUAGCUAAUACCGCAUAACAUCAGAUGUGCUCAGAUGGGUUUAGCUUGUCGGGGUGGGAACGGCUCACCAAGGCGACGAGCCCUAGCAGGUCUGAGAGGAUGACCGGCCAAACUGGAACUGAGACACGGGCCAGACUCCUACGGGAGGCAGCAGUGGGGAAUAUUGUACAAUGGGCGCAAGCCUGAUGCAGCCAUGCCGCGUGUAUGAAGAAGGCCUUCGGGUUGUAAAGUACUUUCAGCGGGGAGGCGUUACCCGCAGAAGAAGCACCGGCUAACUCCGUGCCAGCAGCCGCGGUAAUAC